AGCUCCAUUAGCGUAUAUUAAAGUUGUUGCAGUUAAAAAGCUCGUAGUUGGAUUUCGGUUCGGGUCGGGGCGGUGGCGUCGCGAGACGUCUACCUCCCGGCCAGUCUCUCUUCCCGAAGACUGCGUGUGCUCUUCAGUGGGUGCGCGUCGGGACUCGGGACGUUUACUUUGAAGAAAUUAGAGUGUUCAAAGCGGGCUCUUGAUAGCUCGGAUACUCGUACAUGGAAUAAUGGAAUAGGACCCUGGGUCAUUUCCGUUGGUCUAUGGCCAUUGGGUAAUGAUUAAAAGGGACUGCCGGGGGCAUUGGUAUGGUGGGGGGAGAGGUGAAAUUCAAUGAUCCUCGCCAGACCAACUACAGCGAAAGCAUUUGCCAAGAAUGUCUUCAUUAAUCAAGAACGAA
This 400-nucleotide ribosomal RNA is filed under the name phytoplankton environmental sample. RNAcentral's name for it is "partial small subunit ribosomal RNA". It matches the Rfam family "Eukaryotic small subunit ribosomal RNA", at positions 587 to 987 of the family's 1831-position model. The record is from RNAcentral.